GACGAACGCUGGCGGCGUGCUUAACACAUGCAAGUCGAACGAACAGGCCCUGCUUUUGUGGGGUGCUCGAGUGGCGAACGGGUGAGUAACACGUGAGUAACAUGCCCUUGACUUUGGGAUAACUUCAGGAAACUGGGGCUAAUACCGGAUAGGAGCUCCUGCUGCAUGGGGGGGGUUGGAGAGUUUCGGCGGUGGGGGAUGGACUAGCGGCUUAUCAGCUUGUUGGGGGGGUAGUGGCGUACCAAGGCUUUGACGGGUAGCCGGCCUGGGAGGGUGACCGGCCACAUUGGGACUACGGUACGGCCCAGAAUGCAACGUGAGGCAGCAGUGGGAAAUAUUGCGCAAUGAGCGGAAGUCUGAUGCAGCAGCGCCGCGUGCGGGAUGACGGCCUUCGGGUUGUAAACAGCUUUCGAAUGUGACGAAGCGUGAGUGACGGUACUGGGUAAGGAAGCACCGGCUAACUACGUG
This 468-nucleotide ribosomal RNA is filed under the name uncultured bacterium. Its description in RNAcentral is "partial 16S ribosomal RNA". It matches the Rfam family "Bacterial small subunit ribosomal RNA", at positions 28 to 507 of the family's 1533-position model. The record is from RNAcentral.